UACAGAGGGUGCAAGCGUUAAUCGGAAUUACUGGGCGUAAAGCGUGCGCAGGCGGUGAUGUAAGACAGAUGUGAAAUCCCCGGGCUCAACCUGGGAAUUGCGAUGGAGACUGCAAGGCUAGAAUCUGGCAGAGGGGGGUAGAAUUCCACGUGUAGCAGUGAAAUGCGUAGAGAUGUGGAGGAACACCGAUGGCGAAGGCAGCCCCCUGGGUCAAGAUUGACGCUCAUGCACGAAAGCGUGGGGAGCAAACAGG
Molecule: ribosomal RNA, 253 nt
Filed under: uncultured bacterium
Lineage: Bacteria
Description: partial 16S ribosomal RNA
Rfam family: Bacterial small subunit ribosomal RNA
Source: RNAcentral